This 253-nucleotide ribosomal RNA is filed under the name uncultured bacterium. RNAcentral describes it as "partial 16S ribosomal RNA". It matches the Rfam family "Bacterial small subunit ribosomal RNA", at positions 524 to 776 of the family's 1533-position model. The record is from RNAcentral.
GACGAACCGGACAAACGUUAUUCGGAAUUACUGGGCUUAAAGGGUGCGUAGGCUGCGCGGUAAGUUGGGUGUGAAAUCCCUCGGCUCAACCGAGGAACUGCGCCCAAUACUGCCGUGCUUGAGGAAGACAGAGGUGAGCGGAACUCAGGGUGGAGCGGUGAAAUGCGUUGAUAUCCUGGGGAACGCCCGUGGCGAAAGCGGCUCACUGGGUCUUUUCUGACGCUGAGGCACGAAAGCUAGGGGAGCGAACGGG